Equus quagga is the source of this 311-nucleotide long non-coding RNA. RefSeq lists it as uncharacterized. NCBI's taxonomy places the organism in Eukaryota, Metazoa, Chordata, Mammalia, Perissodactyla, Equidae. The transcript is spliced from 2 exons. The record is from RefSeq and is a predicted model, not a curated record.
CGCACACUGGCUUCCUGCGGCCUCGGAGGUUCAGCCCGACAGCCUGCUGUGCUCGCCUUCUCUGCCCCCUCGGAAGAAGUUCAGGAGCUGGGAACCCGCCGGGCGCCACCAAUCUGCGAGGCAGGGCAUGGAAGAAAAGACGUGGUGAAAGGAUGCUUCCGGACACUUAUUGAUUCCCGGUAAAUGUCUCAACCUCCCUGAGCCUCAGUUUCCUCAUCUGUAAAAUGGAGGGGAGGUGUCACUCCUUGGACUGUGGUGUUGAUUAAUGAGAUGAUGAUGACAAAGGCAAAUAAAUACAGAUGUAAAUUUAA